ACGAACGCGUGGCGGCGUGCCUAAUACAUGCAAGUCGAACGGUCUUCUAUGGAAGCUUGCUCCACUGAGAAGAUAGUGGCGAACGGGUGAGUAACACGUGGGUAACCUGCCCAUAAGAGGGGGAUAACAUCCGGAAACGGGUGCUAAUACCGCAUAGUUUUCUUGAUCGCAUGAUUGAGAAAGGAAAGACGGCCUUUGUGCUGUCGCUUAUGGAUGGACCCGCGGCGUAUUAGUUAGUUGGUGAGGUAACGGCUCACCAAGACGAUGAUACGUAGCCGACCUGAGAGGGUGAUCGGCCACAUUGGGACUGAGACACGGCCCAAACUCCUACGGGAGGCAGCAGUAGGGAAUCUUCCGCAAUGGACGAAAGUCUGACGGAGCAACGCCGCGUGAGUGAAGAAGGUUUUCGGAAUCGUAAAACUCUGUUGUCAGAGAAGAACAAGUUGGAGAGUAACUGCUCCAGCCUUGACGGUAUCUGACCAGAAAGCCACGGCUAACUACGUGCCAGCAGCUGC
RNAcentral lists this ribosomal RNA (515 nucleotides) under uncultured bacterium. RNAcentral describes it as "bacterial SSU rRNA". It matches the Rfam family "Bacterial small subunit ribosomal RNA", at positions 37 to 518 of the family's 1533-position model. The record is from RNAcentral.